RNAcentral lists this transfer-messenger RNA (362 nucleotides) under Verrucomicrobiales. Its description in RNAcentral is "JAEUHH01 sp020439945 Standard tmRNA". It matches the Rfam family "transfer-messenger RNA". From Rfam's summary of the family: Bacterial tmRNA, also known as 10Sa RNA or SsrA, is named for its dual tRNA and mRNA-like properties. Its role is to liberate the mRNA from a stalled ribosome. To accomplish this part of the tmRNA is used as a reading frame that ends in a translation stop signal. RNAcentral also lists the same sequence under 1 other name. Lineage: Bacteria; Pseudomonadati; Verrucomicrobiota; Verrucomicrobiia. The record is from RNAcentral.
GGGGGCGUUCUGGUUUCGACUGGUGGUUUGAAGGGUUGGCUGCAUGCCGAGGUUGAUCGGUUGGCCUCGUAAAAAGCCGAUUAAACAAAUAAACGCAACUAACGAACCUGAACUUGCUCUGGCGGCCUAAUUGAGCCGCCCGUGGCCUUGCCCGACGCCUGCUGAGGCGAGGCCGCGACACCUUGGCAGGCUGGCUGACCGCCGGGCGUCCGGGCGGCUCAGCGAGAGGUUACAGUGACGAUCGGAGAGACCGGAUUCUGUCUGUCGAAGACGCCUCUCCUAAAUCAAAAGACAGAAUAAGCAUGUAGAGGCUUUCACGGACGGCCACAAGGACAGGGGUUCGACUCCCCUCGCCUCCACCA